RNAcentral lists this unclassified non-coding RNA (376 nucleotides) under uncultured bacterium. RNAcentral's name for it is "contains 16S-23S intergenic spacer region". The record is from RNAcentral.
UCCGGUUUGUCACCGGCAGUCUCCGAUGAGUCCCCAACUAAAUGAUGGCAACAUCGAACGGGGGUUGCGCUCGUUGCGGGACUUAACCCAACAUCUCACAACACGAGCUGACGACAGCCAUGCAGCACCUGUCACUCGGUUCCCGAAGGCACUCCGCCGUCUCCGACAGAUUCCGAGGAUGUCAAGGGUAGGUAAGGUUCUUCGCGUUGCAUCGAAUUAAACCACAUGCUCCACCGCUUGUGCGGGCCCCCGUCAAUUCAUUUGAGUUUUAGCCUUGCGGCCGUACUCCCCAGGCGGGGCGCUUAAUGCGUUAGCUACGGCACAGAACCCAAAACGGACCCCACACCUAGCGCCCACCGUUUACAGCAUGGACUAC